UACGUAGGGGGCAAGCGUUGUCCGGAUUUAUUGGGCGUAAAGAGCGUGUAGGCGGCCAAGCAGGUCAGCUGUGAAAACUCGAGGCUCAACCUCGAGACGUCGGUUGAAACCGUUUGGCUAGAGUCCGGAAGAGGAGAGUGGAAUUCCCGGUGUAGCGGUGAAAUGCGUAGAGAUCGGGAGGAACACCAGUGGCGAAGGCGGCUUGCUGGGCCGGACCUGACGCUGAGACGCGAAGGCGUGGGGAGCGAACGGG
RNAcentral lists this ribosomal RNA (253 nucleotides) under uncultured bacterium. Its description in RNAcentral is "partial 16S ribosomal RNA". It matches the Rfam family "Bacterial small subunit ribosomal RNA", at positions 524 to 776 of the family's 1533-position model. The record is from RNAcentral.